RNAcentral lists this ribosomal RNA (2540 nucleotides) under wastewater metagenome. RNAcentral's name for it is "bacterial LSU rRNA". It matches the Rfam family "Bacterial large subunit ribosomal RNA", at positions 496 to 2856 of the family's 2925-position model. The record is from RNAcentral.
UAGUACAGCGAUGGAAAGGUGAAAAGAACCCCGGGAGGGGAGUGAAAUAGAUCCUGAAAUUGUGUGCCUACAAGGAGUCGGAGCCCCUUCGGGGGUGACGGCGUGCUUUUUGUAGAACGAUCCAGCGAGUUAAUUUCGUGCGCAAGGUUAAGUCAAUUGACGGAGCCACAGUGAAAGCGAGCCUGAAUAGGGCGAUUUAGUGCGCGGAAUUAGACCCGAAACCGGGUGACCUAACCAUGAGCAGGUUGAAGCUACUGUAACAGGUAGUGGAGGACCGAACCAGGGUACGCAGCAAAGUGCUUGGAUGACUUGUGGUUAGCGGUGAAAUGCCAAUCGAACCCGGAGAUAGCUGGUUCUCCUCGAAACAGUUUUAGGACUGGCGUCGUGUGGUAGCAUACGGGGGUAGAGCUCUGUAAAGGACUGGGGGGAGCAAUCCUACCCACCCUUAACAAACUACGAAUACCGUAUGUGGAAUCGCGGCAGUUAGAACGGCGGAGCUAAGUUCGUCGCUCGAAAGGGAAACAGCCCAGACCAUCGUCUAAGGUCCCUAAAUUUACGUUCAGUGGGAAACAAGGUGAGAUUUCUUAAACAGCUAGGAUGUUGGCUUAGAAGCAGCCAUUCAUUUAAAGAGUGCGUAACAGCUCACUAGUCAAGAGAUCUUGCGUGGAAAAUGUAACGGGGCUAAAACGUAAUACCGAAGACAUGGAUGCAUAGUUUACUAUGCGUGGUAGAGGAGCGUUCCUAUCUGCAGUGAAGUCAGAUCGUGAGGUCUGGUGGAGCGUUAGGAAGUGAGAAUGCUGGAAUGAGUAACCAUAAGAUAGGUGAGAAUCCUGUCGGCCGUAAGAGCAAGGUUUCCUGAGCUAUGGUAAUCAUCUCAGGGUUAGUCGGGCCUAAGCCGAGGCGCAUAGCGUAGGCGAUGGACAUCAGGUUAAUAUUCCUGAACUGGCGUAUUUUGUACACUGUUCACGGUGAGAUAUUCGGAGCGGAUUCAUGGUAUGUAUCCGUCCAACCCAGCGGGAACGCGAGGGAAGAGAAAGUUACCCUUCGGGGUGAUGAUUCCGGAAAAGGCACUGGCAAGAAAAGCAGAUGUACGUGUGAAUAUUGCCACCCGUACCGCAAACCAACACAGGUGCUCGAGUCGAGUAGACUCAGGCUUACGAGAGAACCCUCGCUAAGGAACUCGGCAAUACAGCGACCGUAACUUCGGGAUAAGGUCUGCCCCCCACUUCGGUGGAUAUAUUGUCAGUUUCAAGCGAUAUACGGUUUGAAUAAUAAAACGAGUAUACCUUUUAAAUAUUCAACGAUAGAACAUCCAAACGAGCGCCACGUUCAUUUAUUGAGUGUGACCGAGUAAGGAAGUUCUUGGUCUGAUCUAAACAAUCAGAUAAUUCUUACUGAGAUAGUAUAACAAGAUUAAAUCUUUAGCUUGAAGCUGAAGUCCAAUACAUCUAACGAUGUGGGGGGCCGCAGCAAAAGAGCCCACGGAACUGUUUAUCAAAAACACAGGUCUCUGCUAACACGAAAGUGGAUGUAUAGGGGCUGACUCCUGCCCGGUGCUGGAAGGUUAAGGGGAGCGCUUUACGGUGCGAACUGAAGCCCCAGUGAACGGCGGCGGUAACUAUAACCGUCCUAAGGUAGCGAAAUUCCUUGUCAGGUAAGUUCUGACCCGCACGAAUGGAGUAAUCAUGUGGGCACUGUCUCAGCGAGGGCCUCGGUGAAAGUGCAUUGGCGGUAAAGAUGCCGUCUGUCCAUACCAGGACGAGAAGACCCCAUGGAGCUUUACUACAGUUUUACAUUGAUCCGGGUUUCAACAUGUGUAGCAUAGUUGGGAGGCUUUGAAGCAGAUACGCUAGUAUUUGUGGAGCCGCAACGUGAAAUACCAACCUUGUUGUGAUCUUGAUCUCACGUUUGCCGUUAUCCGGCAAGCGGACCGUGUAUGAUGGGUAGUUUAACUGGGGCGGUUGCCUCCUAAAGAGUAGCGGAGGCGUUCAAAGGUUGGCUAACUUCGGAUGGAAAUCGAAGUGAUAGUGUAUGCGCACAAGCCAGCUUGACUGUGAGGAUUACAAUCCAAUCAGAGACGAAAGUCGGAGCAAGUGACCCGCUGUACGUACAUUUGUACAUGAACGUGGGAUCGACAGCGCACACGGAUAAAAGUUACCCUGGGGAUAACAGGCUUAUAGCGCCCAAUAGUUCACAUAGACGGCGCUGUUUGGCACCUCGAUGUCGGCUCAUCACAUCCUGGAGGGGGAGCACCUUCCAAGGGUUCGGCUGUUCGCCGAUUAAAGUGGUACGCGAGCUGGGUUCAGAACGUCGUGAGACAGUUCGGUUUAUAUCCGGUAUGGACGUCAGGAAAUUUGAGAGGAUCUGCCCCUAGUACGAGAGGACCGGGGUGGACGAACCUCUGGUGUAUCGAUUGUGGCCACCUGCUGCAUUGUCGAGUAGCUAUGUUCGGUCUAGAUAAGCGCUGAAAGCAUAUUAAGCGCGAAACUAACCUCAAGAUUAGAUUUCCCUAUGAGGACACAGAGAGACUAUCUGUUUGA